This is a long non-coding RNA of Pistacia vera, 866 nucleotides long. RefSeq lists it as uncharacterized. The record is from RefSeq and is a predicted model, not a curated record. The transcript has 3 exons. NCBI's taxonomy places the organism in Eukaryota, Viridiplantae, Streptophyta, Magnoliopsida, Sapindales, Anacardiaceae.
AUUCCAAAUCCUAAAUCCCGUAGGAAACCUUCUCCGCCUCCUUCAACCAGAGCAACUCAGAACCAGAGCAGCUAAUAAGUUAUGGAAUCCGCAGGGUAUUGAUAUACUUACUAGAGUUUUACCAUUAGUAAAGCUCAAGUUUAUUGAGUUUCAAACAGAAGUGAGUGAGAUUGUGCUCAGGAAAAUUGGCAAUUUCAGUAUCAAGGAUUAGGCCAUUCCUGCACAAAUUGUUCCGGAGCUAGAGCUGCUUCCCUGAUGAGUCCAUGGCAGGAUGAAACCAGUAGAGCUCAAGCUGAUGAAUAGCAUACGUGGAGGCUUACCCCUUAUCAAGUGUGAUGUUGGGGUGCUGCACAGGCCGUUCCGCUGCGUUGAAACUCUAGGCCCUUGACAAAAGAUAAGGGCACAAGAGGGCUUGCAGUAAAAAGUGCACGAGAGCAUGGACUUUUUGUGUCUAUUAUCAGCACAAAAUUCAGUUAUAGACACUACAGAAUGAAAAAAAUUGCCUUUGCUCGCUCGGGGGGAAAACCAGAGAAGAAAUGUUAUCCCAGAUAAAAGAUUCGGCAUUCAGCCUCUACUUUUUGAUUUAUUUUUUAAUCAUUAUGGUCUUCCACAUGAAUUCCUCUUGUAUAGAUUAGCAUAGAUAAAAUUGUUCUUUAAUAUCUCGUUGCUGAUUUGUUGUAUAUCCUAUAUAGAUUAAACAAUGUGAUAGGGGUUUUAUUACUGAACUUGACAGUCAGUACAGAAGCCAUUCAUUUUUCCUUCACUUUGUCUCAACUGUGAGGAAAUGAACUUCUGCCAUUGUCAAUGUAAUUGAAGCAAUUGAGAUUAUUUAUUCUAAUUAAACCAAGUAUCUUAGGGAGAAUCAC